AGGAAGCUACAUCGAUCCUUCGUGUUUUGUUUUGUUUGCCUUCAAAUUUUUGGCAUUUUCGAAACUCACAAAUACCAAAACAACAUUUCUUUCUUUUCGCUGCUUCUUCUUCGUCAAAUAAUGGGAUCUCAAAACACUUGGAUCAAUGAAGCAUUGAUGGAUAUUGCUUGUUUCUAGUAGCUCGGUUUCGUUUCUCAAGGUCUUCGUUGAUUGUAGUGAUUUAAAAUUUGGUUACUUUCUAGACUCUUUAUCACCG
This 256-nucleotide long non-coding RNA is filed under the name Gossypium barbadense (sea-island cotton). Its description in RNAcentral is "long non-coding RNA (GBAR_LNC022047)". Lineage: Eukaryota; Viridiplantae; Streptophyta; Magnoliopsida; Malvales; Malvaceae. The record is from RNAcentral.